RNAcentral lists this ribosomal RNA (486 nucleotides) under uncultured Phialophora. RNAcentral describes it as "eukaryotic LSU rRNA". The stretch from base 159 to 312 matches the Rfam family "5.8S ribosomal RNA". The record is from RNAcentral. Lineage: Eukaryota; Fungi; Ascomycota; Leotiomycetes.
CAGAGUUCUUGCCCUUACGGGUAGAUCUCCCACCCUUGAAUACAUACCUUUGUUGCUUUGGCGGGCCGCGCUUGCGCUACUGGCUUCGGCUAGUACGUGCCCGCCAGAGGACCACAACUCUUGUUUUUAGUGAUGUCUGAGUACUAUAUAAUAGUUAAAACUUUCAACAACGGAUCUCUUGGUUCUGGCAUCGAUGAAGAACGCAGCGAAAUGCGAUAAGUAAUGUGAAUUGCAGAAUUCAGUGAAUCAUCGAAUCUUUGAACGCACAUUGCGCCCUUUGGUAUUCCGAAGGGCAUGCCUGUUCGAGCGUCAUUAUACCACUCAAGCUUAGCUUGGUAUUGGGGCCCGCUAUCGGCGGCCCCUAAAAUCAGUGGCGGCGCCUGUAGGCUCUACACGUAGUAAUACUUCUCGCUAUAGGGUCCGGUCGGUUGCUUGCCAACAACCCCAAUUUUUAUCAGGUUGACCUCGGAUCAGGUAGGGAUACCC